This 163-nucleotide ribosomal RNA is filed under the name Acrapex syscia. RNAcentral describes it as "partial 12S small subunit ribosomal RNA". The record is from RNAcentral. Lineage: Eukaryota; Metazoa; Arthropoda; Insecta; Lepidoptera; Noctuidae.
AAAUUUUAAAAUUAUAAUACUAAAAUAGUAAAUAAUUAUUUAUUAAAACUUAAAUAAUUUGGCGGUAUUUUAGUUUAUUUAGAGGAAUCUGUUUAAUAAUUGAUAUUCCACGAAUAAAUUUACUUAAUUUAUAAUUUUGUAUAUCGUUGUUAUAAAAAUAUUU